AGAACCUGAAUUACAAGACCAAAUUACCUGAAAUGUUCACUGCAUAAAGGUGACAUAUUUACACCUGAGUGUAUCACUGAACAUUCCACCUACACACCGACGGUGCUGCGCGAACAAUAGGCUGGCCGGUCGGCUCUGACCUUCAAAGACCAGGGGACAGGUCAUCCCAUUGUCUAGCAGCACUAAAAUUAAUACUACGUCAUGGAGCUGUGAUAUCUCUUUCACGAGCUGUAAUAAAUCUAAUGAUUAAAAGAUAGCAAGAACAAAGAGAAACAACUGGCGAUCCUGUCAAUGGAAAUUAGUGUACUUUAAAUGAAAUAUUCAGUGGUC
Mizuhopecten yessoensis (Yesso scallop) is the source of this 330-nucleotide long non-coding RNA. RefSeq lists it as uncharacterized. The record is from RefSeq and is a predicted model, not a curated record. NCBI's taxonomy places the organism in Eukaryota, Metazoa, Mollusca, Bivalvia, Pectinida, Pectinidae. The transcript has 3 exons.